GCAAGGAAUUUUGUGCAAUGGGCGAAAGCCUGACACAGCAACGCCGCGUGAGGGAUGAAGGCCUUCGGGUUGUAAACCUCUUUUCUUAGGGAAGAAUAAUGACGGUACCUAAGGAAUAAGCUUCGGCUAACUACGUGCCAGCAGCCGCGGUAAUACGUAGGAAGCGAGCGUUAUCCGAAUUUACUGGGCGUAAAGUGGGCGUAGGUUGCCUUUCAAGUCGGAUGUGAAAUCUCCUGGCUUAACUGGGAGAAGUCAUCUGAUACUGCUAGGCUUGAGGACAGCAAGAGAAGGUGGAAUUCCCGGUGUAGUGGUGAAAUGCGUAGAUAUCGGGAGGAACACCAGUGGCGAAGGCGGCCUUCUGGGCUGUUUCUGACGCUGAGGCCCUAAAGUGUGGGGAGCGAACAGGAUUAGAUACCCGGGUAGUCC
RNAcentral lists this ribosomal RNA (426 nucleotides) under uncultured bacterium. RNAcentral's name for it is "bacterial SSU rRNA". It matches the Rfam family "Bacterial small subunit ribosomal RNA", at positions 354 to 796 of the family's 1533-position model. The record is from RNAcentral.